RNAcentral lists this transfer RNA (90 nucleotides) under endosymbiont 'TC1' of Trimyema compressum. RNAcentral's name for it is "tRNA-Leu". It matches the Rfam family "tRNA". From Rfam's summary of the family: Transfer RNA (tRNA) molecules are approximately 80 nucleotides in length. Lineage: Bacteria; Bacillati; Bacillota. The record is from RNAcentral.
GCCUGAGUGGUGGAAUAGGUAGACACACAGGACUUAAAAUCCUGCGGAGGUCAAAACUCCGUGCCGGUUCGAUUCCGGCCUUAGGCACCA